CGUGGGUGGAUCUGCACCUGCACUUCGGGAUAAGCUUGGGAAACUGGGUCUAAUACCGGAUAGGAACCAUCUUUAGUGUGGUGGUUGGAAAGUUUUUUCGGUGUAGGAUGAGCUCGCGGCCUAUCAGCUUGUUGGUGGGGUAAUGGCCUACCAAGGCGGCGACGGGUAGCCGGCCUGAGAGGGUGUACGGCCACAUUGGGACUGAGAUACGGCCCAG
Molecule: ribosomal RNA, 217 nt
Filed under: uncultured Actinomycetales bacterium
Lineage: Bacteria; Bacillati; Actinomycetota; Actinomycetes; Actinomycetales
Description: partial 16S ribosomal RNA
Rfam family: Bacterial small subunit ribosomal RNA
Source: RNAcentral